This 73-nucleotide transfer RNA is filed under the name Bos taurus (domestic cattle). It matches the Rfam family "tRNA". Rfam says of the family: Transfer RNA (tRNA) molecules are approximately 80 nucleotides in length. Their secondary structure includes four short double-helical elements and three loops (D, anti-codon, and T loops). Further hydrogen bonds mediate the characteristic L-shaped molecular structure. tRNAs have two regions of fundamental functional importance: the anti-codon, which is responsible for specific mRNA codon recognition, and the 3' end, to which the tRNAs corresponding amino acid is attached (by aminoacyl-tRNA synthetases). tRNAs cope with the degeneracy of the genetic code in two manners: having more than one tRNA (with a specific anti-codon) for a particular amino acid; and 'wobble' base-pairing, i.e. permitting non-standard base-pairing at the 3rd anti-codon position. Lineage: Eukaryota; Metazoa; Chordata; Mammalia; Artiodactyla; Bovidae. RNAcentral also lists the same sequence under 3 other names. The record is from Rfam by way of RNAcentral.
UUCCUGGAGGUCUGGUGGUUAGGACUCUGCGCUUCCACUGCAGGGGGCACAGGUUCUAUCCCUGGUCAGGGAA